GGCGACGUAGCCAAGAGGCUAAGGCGGCGGACUGCAAAUCCGCUAUUCCCGGGUUCGAAUCCCGGCGUCGCCU
Molecule: transfer RNA, 73 nt
Filed under: Armatimonadota bacterium
Lineage: Bacteria; Bacillati; Armatimonadota
Also listed under: 1 other name
Description: Armatimonadetes bacterium (hot springs metagenome) tRNA-Cys
Rfam family: tRNA
About the family: Transfer RNA (tRNA) molecules are approximately 80 nucleotides in length.
Source: RNAcentral